This 449-nucleotide ribosomal RNA is filed under the name uncultured bacterium. Its description in RNAcentral is "partial 16S ribosomal RNA". It matches the Rfam family "Bacterial small subunit ribosomal RNA", at positions 354 to 796 of the family's 1533-position model. The record is from RNAcentral.
GUCGAGAAUCUUUCACAAUGGGGGCAACCCUGAUGGAGCGACGCCGCGUGGAGGAUAAGGUCUUCGGAUUGUAAACUCCUGUCAUGCGUGAACAAGGUUGCUUGGUUAAUACCUGGGCAAAUUGAUGGUAACGCAAGAGGAAGAGACGGCUAACUCUGUGCCAGCAGCCGCGGUAAUGCAGAGGUCUCAAGCGUUGUUCGGAAUCACUGGGCGUAAAGGGUGCGUAGGUGGCGUGGUAAGUCAGAUGUGAAAGCCCGGGGCUCAACCUCGGAACUGCAUCCGAUACUGCCAUGCUAGAGUACUGGAGAGGUGACUAGAAUUCUCGGUGUAGCAGUGAAAUGCGUAGAUAUCGAGAGGAAUACCAAAGGCGUAGGCAGGUCACUGGACAGUUACUGACACUGAGGCACGAAGGCCAGGGGAGCGAACGGGAUUAGAUACCCCAGUAGUCC